Molecule: long non-coding RNA, 1613 nt
Organism: Corapipo altera (White-ruffed manakin)
Lineage: Eukaryota; Metazoa; Chordata; Aves; Passeriformes; Pipridae
Exons: 5
Source: RefSeq, a predicted model, not a curated record
GCCGCCCCCCCGGCACGCCUGCGGGGGGGGGCGCGGGGGGGCGGAGCCUUUGGGGGCUCGCAGGGGCUCCGCCCACUUCUCCAGCCUCGAGUCCGAGGUAUGACCGGGGGUUUGGGGGGGGGCAGAGGGGACAUCGGGACCCCCCCCCCGGGGACCCCCCGGGACCCUCAGAGCCCCCAUUGUCCCCGACACUUGGGGGAGGGGGGGCUGGUGGCCCCCGUGGUGACAACGGGGACACAGAGGGGACCCCUCAGGACCGUGAGGUGACACCAGCGAGGACAAGGACAGGUGGCACCUGAGGUGACAAUGAGGACAAGGAGGACAAGGACAGGUCCCCAUGAGGUGACACCAUGAAGGACAAGGACAGGUGGCACCUGCAGUGACAACGAGGACAAUGAGGACAAGGACGGGUCCCCAUGAGGUGACACCUCGAGGACAAGGACAGGUGGCACCUGAGGUGACAACGGGGACACGGACAGGGCCCUGUGGCCCCUGAGGUGACACUCGUGGUGACAAGGACGAGGACAGUCCCCACAGUGACACCGGCGGGGACAAGGACAGGCCCCACUGAGGACACGGUUUGUCCCCUCGUCCCCAAAGUGCCACCAGGGACACGAGUCGCGUCACCCCGAGCCCGAGGGUGACACUGCGGCCACCAGCACGGCCCUGGGGACAACUCGGGGUGUCCCUGCACCCGUGGGUGGCAUUGUGACCCUGUGGGUGACACUGAGACCCUGUGGGUGACACUGAGACCCCGGGGGUGACACUGUGACCCCAUGAGUGACACUGUGACCCCAUGAGUGACACUGUGACCCUGUGGGUGACUCUGAGACCCCAUGAGUGACUCUGAGACACCACAGGUGACACUGUGACCCUAUGGGUGACACUGUGACCCUAUGGGUGACACUGUGACCCCACAGGUGACACUGUGACCCCAUGAGUGACACUGUGACCCUGCAGGUGACACCGUGAUCCUGUGAGUGACUCUGUGACCCCAUGAGUGACAUUGUGACCCUGUAGGUGACACUGUGACCCCCUGAGUGACACUGUGACCCCGUGGGUGACACUGUGACCCCGCAGGUGACACUGUGACCCCACAGGUGACACUGAGACCCCAUGAGUGACUCUGAGACCCCACAGGUGACACUGAGACCCCCUGAGUGACACUGUGACCCCGUGGGUGACAUUGAGACCCCAUGGGUGGCACUGUGACCCAGCGGGUGACACUGUGACCCCACAGGUGACCCUGUGACCCCACAGAUGACACUGUGACCCUGCAGGUGACACCGUGUCCCUUCAGGUGACACUGUGACCCCACAGGUGACCCUGUGACCCCGCAGGUGACCCUGUGACCCCACGGGGUGACCCCACCGCCACGGAGGACACGCCCGGUCCCCGAGGGUGACACUGUGACCCCCCAACAGCCCCUGGAGGACACCACCGUGUCCCCUCCCCCCGGUGGCACCGCGGCCACGCCCCGGGGGGGUGACACCGCGCCGGGUGUUGGGGACACUCCUGUCCCCUCCCCCCGCUAGCGGGGGAUGGGCUGGCACCAUCCGCUGUCCCCGUGUGUCCCCUCCCCCGCCCCGCGCUGCUGACGAAGUUUUUAAUUA